CAAUAGCGUAUAUUUAAGUUGUUGCAGUUAAAAAGCUCGUAGUUGGAUUUCGGGUUGGCUUCAGCGGUCUCGCUUUGCGUUUGUACUGCUGCAGCCUGCCUUCUUGCCGGGGACGGGCCUACGGGCUUAAUUGCUUGGGGUCCGGAGUCGGCGACGUUACUUUGAGUAAAUUAGAGUGUUCAAAGCAAGCCUACGCUCUGAAUAUAAUAGCAUGGGAUAACACGACAGGACUCUGGCCUAUCGUGUUGGUCUAUAGGACCAGAGUAAUGAUUAAGAGGGACAGUCGGGGGCAUUCGUAUUCCGUUGUCAGAGGUGAAAUUCUUGGAUUUACGGAAGACGAACAUCUGCGAAAGCAUUUGCCAAGGAUGUUUUCAUUGA
RNAcentral lists this ribosomal RNA (378 nucleotides) under uncultured eukaryote. RNAcentral's name for it is "partial 18S ribosomal RNA". It matches the Rfam family "Eukaryotic small subunit ribosomal RNA", at positions 592 to 976 of the family's 1831-position model. The record is from RNAcentral.